AGGACGAACGCUGGCGGCGUGCCUAAAACAUGCAAGUCGAACGGUGGUAGCAAUACCACAGUGGCGAACGGCGGAGUAAUACAUGAGCAACGUGCCCUAAAGACUGGGAUAGUCACUGGAAACGGUGGGUAAUACCGGAUGUGGCGAUUUUCACACCUGUAGAGAUCGUUAAAUGGUUUUUCGCUUUAGGAGCGGCUCAUGGCCUAUCAGGUAGUUGGUGGGGUAAUGGCCUACCAAGCCGACGACGGGUAGCGGGUCUGAGAGGAUGGUCCGCUCGAGUGGGACUGAGACACGGCCCACACACCUACGGGUGGCAGCAGUUGGGAAUCUUGCACAAUGGGGGGAACCCUGAUGCAGCGACGCCGCGUGGAGGAUGACGGGUCUAGGCCUGUAAACUCCUUUUCUCGGGAAAGACUUAGGACGGUACCCGAGGAAUAAGCCCCGGCUAACUACGUGCCAGCAGCCGC
This 467-nucleotide ribosomal RNA is filed under the name uncultured bacterium. RNAcentral's name for it is "SSU rRNA". It matches the Rfam family "Bacterial small subunit ribosomal RNA", at positions 26 to 518 of the family's 1533-position model. The record is from RNAcentral.